UCUGUGAUAGCUUAAAGGUAGAGCCCCAAUCGGUAAUUGGUAUUUUGCGGGUUCGAUUCCCGUUCCUGGAG
This 71-nucleotide transfer RNA is filed under the name Anisakis simplex (herring worm). It matches the Rfam family "tRNA". Rfam says of the family: Transfer RNA (tRNA) molecules are approximately 80 nucleotides in length. The record is from Rfam by way of RNAcentral. Lineage: Eukaryota; Metazoa; Nematoda; Chromadorea; Rhabditida; Anisakidae.